UGGGGAAUAUUGCACAAUGGAGGGAACUCUGAUGCAGCGACGCCGCGUGAACGAAGAAGGCUUUCGAGUCGUAAAGUUCUUUUAUAUGGGAAGAUAAUGACGGUACCAUAAGAAAAAGCCCCGGCUAACUACGUGCCAGCAGCCGCGGUAAUACGUAGGGGGCUAGCGUUGUCCGGAAUCACUGGGCGUAAAGGGUUCGCAGGCGGAAAUGCAAGUCAGGUGUAAAAGGCAGUAGCUUAUCUACUGUAAGCAUUUGAAACUGCAUAUCUUGAGAAGAGUAGAGGUAAGUGGAAUUUUUAGUGUAGCGGUGAAAUGCGUAGAUAUUAAAAAGAAUACCGGUGGCGAAGGCGACUUACUGGGCUCAUUCUGACGCUGAGGAACGAAAGCGUGGGUAGCAAACAGG
This 403-nucleotide ribosomal RNA is filed under the name bacterium. RNAcentral describes it as "partial 16S ribosomal RNA". It matches the Rfam family "Bacterial small subunit ribosomal RNA", at positions 355 to 776 of the family's 1533-position model. RNAcentral also lists the same sequence under 1 other name. The record is from RNAcentral.